UCUUCUUCUUUUUAUUUAUUUAUUUUUGGUCAUGUUUGGUUUUUGUUUUGUGCCGUUUCAUUUAGUGGACGAACGGGUUAACCAUGUUAUGCGCAUUUUGGUUUUUUGCCAUAUUAAUUUCAUCAUGUAGCUAACAAUGGAUAGUUUUAGGGAUUCAAAAGUUGCUUGGAUUGAAUAUAUGUGUAUGGUGAGAUCCGAAGCGGUCUUUAUCUGCUUCUGCUAUAAUUAUUUAUUGGCUAAAUAGACUAAGGCCAUGGUUGGGCAAAUGUGUAUGUGUGUGUGUCAAACUUGUGUUCUAAUU
This 301-nucleotide long non-coding RNA is filed under the name Arachis ipaensis. Its description in RNAcentral is "long non-coding RNA (AIPA_LNC000114)". The record is from RNAcentral. Lineage: Eukaryota; Viridiplantae; Streptophyta; Magnoliopsida; Fabales; Fabaceae.